This 75-nucleotide antisense RNA is filed under the name Streptomyces avermitilis MA-4680 = NBRC 14893. RNAcentral's name for it is "Streptomyces avermitilis MA-4680 ASpks TB sRNA". It matches the Rfam family "ASpks TB sRNA". Lineage: Bacteria; Bacillati; Actinomycetota; Actinomycetes; Kitasatosporales; Streptomycetaceae. The record is from Rfam by way of RNAcentral.
CUUCAGGGAGCCCAGCCACAGCGGCCGCCCCGCCGUUUUGGCCUGCCCGUACGUGGCCAGCAGCGCGUCCGCCUC